CAAUAGCGUAUAUUAAAGUUGUUGCAGUUAAAAAGCUCGUAGUUGAAUUUCUGGCGGGCGCGCCGGUCUUCCAAGUGUUGUACUGGGCGCAGUCCGCCAUCCUUGUGGAGAGGGCUCGCAUUGAGUUGCGUGUCGGAUCUGCAUCAUUUACUGUGAAAAAAUUAGAGUGUUUAAAGCAGGCUGUCGCUUGAAUACAUUAGCAUGGAAUAAUAAGAUAGGACUUCGGUCUAUUUUGUUGGUUGCGAACCGAGGUAAUGAUUAAUAGGGAUAGUUGGGGGUAUUCAUAUUUAAUUGUCAGAGGUGAAAUUCUUGGAUUUAUGAAAGAUGAACAACUGCGAAAGCAUUUACCAAGGAUGUUUUCAUUA
RNAcentral lists this ribosomal RNA (365 nucleotides) under uncultured eukaryote. Its description in RNAcentral is "partial 18S ribosomal RNA". It matches the Rfam family "Eukaryotic small subunit ribosomal RNA", at positions 592 to 975 of the family's 1831-position model. The record is from RNAcentral.